UAUGAUAUGACAGAACUGUGGGGACACGUGCAGAGAGCGGAAGCCGGGAAUGGGAUCCCGGUGCAAGCGAGGUACCAGAUGCGUUGGAAAAACCGCGCAUCAAUGGGAAGACGUGAUGCGGAGUGAAGUUUAGUAAUGAAGUCCGUGAGCUGUGCGUCAAGAAAAGCCGCUAUUGUUCAUACCAUACCCGUACCGUAAACCGACACAGGUGGAUGAGGAGAGAAUCCUAAGGCCGGCGGAAGAAGCAUUGUCGAGGAACUCGGCAAAAUGACCCCGUAACUUCGGGAGAAGGGGUGCCACUGAGAAGUGGCCGCAGAGAAUAGGCUCAAGCAACUGUUUAGCAAAAACACAGGUCUAUGCGAAACCGUAAGGUGAGGUAUAUGGGCUGACGCCUGCCCGGUGCUGGAAGGUUAAGAGGAGAGGUUAGCGGAAACGCGAAGCUUUGAAUUUAAGCCCCAGUAAACGGCGGCCGUAACGAUAACGGUCCUAAGGUAGCGAGAUUCCUUGUCGGGUAAGUUCCGACCCGCACGAAAGGCGUAAUGAUUUGAGCGCUGUCUCGACAAUGCAUCCGGUGAAAUUGAAGUACCAGUGAAGAUGCUGGUUACCUGCGCCAGGACGGAAAGACCCCAUGGAGCUUUACUCCAGUUUGGUACUGGGAUCCGGUACUGCAUGUACAGGAUAGGUGGGAGGCUAUGAAAUGGUAACGCCAGUUGCCAUGGAGCCGCUGUUGGGAUACCACCCUUGCAGUAUUGGGUUUCUAACCAGCCGCCGUGACCCGGCGGUGGGACGAUGCCAGACGGGGAGUUUGACUGGGGCGGUCGCCUCCGAAAGGGUAUCGGAGGCGCCCAAAGGUUCCCUCAGGAUGGACGGAAACCAUCCAAAGAGUGCAAAGGCAGAAGGGAGCUUGACUGCGACACCGACGGGUGGAGCAGGUACGAAAGUAGGGCUUAGUGAUCCGGUGGUAUUAAGUGGGAAUGCCAUCGCUCAACGGAUAAAAGCUACCCUUGGGAUAACAGGCUUAUCACUCCCAAGAGUUCACAUCGACGGAGUGGUUUGGCACCUCGAUGUCGGCUCAUCGCAUCCUGGGGCUGUAGUAGGUCCCAAGGGUUGGGCUGUUCGCCCAUUAAAGCGGUACGCGAGCUGGGUUCAGAACGUCGUGAGACAGUUCGGUCCCUAUCCGGCGUGGGCGUAGGAUAUCUGAGAGGAGCUGUCCUUAGUACGAGAGGACCGGGAUGGACGGGCCGCUGGUGCACCGGUUAGACUGCCAAGUCUAUAGCCGGGUAGCCAAGCCCGGAAGGGAUAAACGCUGAAGGCAUCUAAGCGUGAAGCCCCCCUCAAGAUGAGAUAUCCCAUCCGAAAGGAGUAAACCCCCUUGAAGACGACGAGGUUGAUAGGGCAGGGGUGGAAGUGUGGUAACACAUGGAGCUGACUGCUACUAAUAGGGUGAGGGCUUGACCU
Molecule: ribosomal RNA, 1458 nt
Filed under: metagenome
Description: bacterial LSU rRNA
Rfam family: Bacterial large subunit ribosomal RNA
Source: RNAcentral